UCAUGACUUCCAGUUACCUCCCCUUAUUCACAAAACUAGUCAUCUGGUCAUAGAGCGCUACAUAGAAGGUUGAUUCCCACUGUGUAAGUCCAUGUCAACUACUCCCAACCACUUUAUUGUUCUUUGUUUGUUUAGAAAUGGUUUCCAGGAUAGUGGAUCCAUCACCUUCCCAGGGAUUGAGGUGAGGCCAAUCAGCCUGUAGUUUCAUGGCUGUAGCUUAUGGCCCUGCUGGAAAACAGGAAGGACAUUUGCUUUCUUCUAGUCCUCAGGAACCUCCCAAGUUCUGCUGAUGUGUCAAUCAGAAAAGGCCUGCUGCUUCAUCACUCAUGUGCAUCUGUCAGCUGGAAUGGUCUCCUGAUCUUCCUCCACUGAAGGUGGAAGGUAAUAUUCUGUUGGAUCAUCUGGGCAUAUGUCAUCAAAGCAAUUAGUUCACAAGACAAUGCCUUCUCAAAAUCACAACAUCUCUUUGCUGGGUACAUUUCCAAGAUUAGCCAGUCCUGCUAACUCCUGCACAGUUUCCUGUCGAACUGCACAUGGAUUGCAACACCAUCAGCAUGAAUUUAUGAGAGUCUCAUUCCUGAAAAGGACACUAUAGUUUUGGAAUACUACAAUACAAAACAGGACACUGGCAUGGGGUGGAGCUUAUUGAAAACAGCCUGAAGUUUUUACAUUUUUUUCUGUCAUUUGAAGUACCAAAGACCUAUUCUUUAUUGUUUACUUCAUGUUACAUAAACUCAUAAGGGCAAUAAAC
Molecule: long non-coding RNA, 751 nt
Filed under: Chloebia gouldiae (Gouldian finch)
Lineage: Eukaryota; Metazoa; Chordata; Aves; Passeriformes; Passeridae
Description: Erythrura gouldiae (Gouldian finch) lncRNA (ENSEGOG00005016409.1)
Source: RNAcentral